AGACAUGGCACAAACACAUGAGUCAUGGAAAAAAUUCUUUGUGUGGGAAGCAGGAAAAACAAAUGGGGCCCAACUUCCAGUUGUUCAAAUGCUCAAAAGUAUUGGACAAACAGACGUGACCUCUGCAACGGAAUGUGACUACCUUCUAGUCUUCUGUCCUGUUGUUUCACGAGUUGGAACGGACAUCGGCGAGGCCCUGCACAACAUAACUCCUGGCAAACCAGUAAUACUGGUAGUGAUGCAUCACACCUUCAAUCCUCACCAUGUUGUAGCUGAAAGCCGGAGGCAGGUGGACAACCCAAAUGUCCACCUAACUGUGGACUGUCUGUUUCAUGAAGGCCGUCUCCUCAAUUGCAACCUCAAUGAUACCAUGUCGAGUGACAUCAAAAGAUUUUUUGGUUCUGAAUCCCCAGCUCCAGCCUUAAUUCACAACUUGAUGUCUUUGUGGCAACGCAUCCCAAGUUUCUUUUUAGGUUUCUUCAUCUGGAAAAUAUUUGGACUUUGUUGCUCCAGUAUUUGGAAUUUAUUCGUGUCGUAGCCGGAAAGCCUGUAUGCUGCAACCUUCUACACCAUUCAAGUCAUUGCCAACUGCAUCAACCUUUUUGCGGAUGUGCACAUCAGGUUGUGUGGGAGGUGACGGCACUGAGUUAAAAUGACUUUUCAGUUACAAUGUAAAUUCCUGUACAAGUCUAAUUCACACAUAAGUUAGCAUGGUAGAACAGGAUUUCUUGAUGUAUGCUCAACCAUCCUAGUAAGUAAAUCCCAAAAGGUUGAUUCCACAACCUUAUAAACAGCACAU
This 799-nucleotide long non-coding RNA is filed under the name Oreochromis niloticus (Nile tilapia). Its description in RNAcentral is "lncRNA (ENSONIG00000024443.2)". Lineage: Eukaryota; Metazoa; Chordata; Actinopteri; Cichliformes; Cichlidae. The record is from RNAcentral.